RNAcentral lists this ribosomal RNA (451 nucleotides) under uncultured bacterium. RNAcentral describes it as "partial 16S ribosomal RNA". It matches the Rfam family "Bacterial small subunit ribosomal RNA", at positions 28 to 507 of the family's 1533-position model. The record is from RNAcentral.
GAUGAACGCUGGCGGCGUGCCUAACACAUGCAAGUCGAGCGGCGGCGAGGGGUGCUUGCACCCUGUCGGCGAGCGGCGGACGGCUGAGUAGCGCGUGGGAACGUGCCCCAAAGUGAGGAAUAACUGCCCGAAAGGGUAGCUAAUACCGCAUAUUAUCUUCGGAUCAAAGGAUUUAUCCGCUUUGGGAGCGGCUCGCGUCGGAUUAGGUAGUUGGUGAGGUAAUGGCUCACCAAGCCGACGAUCCGUAGCUGGUCUGAGAGGAUGACCAGCCAGACUGGAACUGAGACACGGUCCAGACUCCUACGGGAGGCAGCAGUGAGGAAUCUUCCACAAUGGGCGAAAGCCUGAUGGAGCAACGCCGCGUGCAGGACGAAGGCCUUCGGGUUGUAAACUGCUUUUAUAAGUGAGGAAUAUGACGGUAACUUAUGAAUAAGGAUCGGCUAACUACGUG